Molecule: ribosomal RNA, 253 nt
Filed under: uncultured bacterium
Lineage: Bacteria
Description: partial 16S ribosomal RNA
Rfam family: Bacterial small subunit ribosomal RNA
Source: RNAcentral
UACGGAGGGUGCGAGCGUUAUUCGGAAUGACUGGGCGUAAAGCGCACGCAGGCGGUUUUUUAAGUGAGAUGUGAAAGCCCCGGGCUUAACCUGGGAAUUGCAUUUGAAACUGGGUAACUAGAGUAUGUUAGAGGGAGGUGGAAUUUCCAGUGUAGCAGUGAAAUGCGUAGAGAUGGGGAGGAACACCGAUGGCGAAGGCAGCCCUCUGGGGCUAUACUGACGCUCAUGUGCGAAAGCGUGGGGAGCAAACAGG